GGCUUUUUAAUUUACUCAGAUUUGAACUCUGAAAAAGGGGGUACUAACCCCCAAAAGCCU
RNAcentral lists this transfer RNA (60 nucleotides) under Bugula neritina. Its description in RNAcentral is "tRNA-Ser". Lineage: Eukaryota; Metazoa; Bryozoa; Gymnolaemata; Cheilostomatida; Bugulidae. The record is from RNAcentral.